CCUACGGGUGACAGCAGUGGGGGAUAUUGGACAAUGGGGGUAACCCUGAUCCAGCGACGCAGCGUGCAUGAAGAAGUAUCUCGGUAUGUAAAGCUCUAUCAACAGGGAGGAAGAAAUGACGGUACCUGAGUAAGAAUCGCCGGUCAACUACGUGCCAGCAGCCGCUGUAAUACGUAGGGGGCAAGCGUUAUCCGAAAUCACUGGGUGUACAGGUAGCGUUGGCGGUAAUGUAAGACUGGAGGGAAAGGCGGGGGCCCAACCCCCGGCCUGCUCUGGAAACUAGGUGACUGGAGUGCAGGGGAGGUGAGCGGAAUUCGUAGUGUAGCGGUGAAAUGCGUAGAUAUUAGGAAGAACACCAGUGGCGAAGGCGGCUCACUGGACUGUAACUGACGUUGAGGCUCGAAGGCGUGGGGAGCAAACAGGAUUAGAUACCCCUGUAGUC
Molecule: ribosomal RNA, 442 nt
Filed under: uncultured bacterium
Lineage: Bacteria
Description: partial 16S ribosomal RNA
Rfam family: Bacterial small subunit ribosomal RNA
Source: RNAcentral